RNAcentral lists this ribosomal RNA (486 nucleotides) under uncultured bacterium. RNAcentral's name for it is "bacterial SSU rRNA". It matches the Rfam family "Bacterial small subunit ribosomal RNA", at positions 1 to 503 of the family's 1533-position model. The record is from RNAcentral.
GCCCUUAGAGUUUGAUCCUGGCUCAGGACGAACGCUGGCGGCGCGCCUAACACAUGCAAGUCGAACGAGAGAGAGGAAGCUUGCUUCCUCAAUCGAGUGGCGAACGGGUGAGUAACGCGUGAGGAACCUGCCUCAAAGAGGGGGACAACAGUUGGAAACGACUGCUAAUACCGCAUAAGCCCACGGGUCGGCAUCGACCAGAGGGAAAAGGAGCAAUCCGCUUUGAGAUGGCCUCGCGUCCGAUUAGCUGGUUGGUGAGGUAAUGGCCCACCAAGGCGACGAUCGGUAGCCGGACUGAGAGGUUGAACGGCCACAUUGGGACUGAGACACGGCCCAGACUCCUACGGGAGGCAGCAGUGGGGAAUAUUGCACAAUGGGGGAAACCCUGAUGCAGCGACGCCGCGUGGAGGAAGAAGGUCUUCGGAUUGUAAACUCCUGUUGUGAGGAAGAUAAUGACGGUACUCAACAAGGAAGUACGGCUACUCU